This 344-nucleotide ribosomal RNA is filed under the name Bacillus pumilus. RNAcentral describes it as "bacterial SSU rRNA". It matches the Rfam family "Bacterial small subunit ribosomal RNA", at positions 432 to 768 of the family's 1533-position model. Lineage: Bacteria; Bacillati; Bacillota; Bacilli; Caryophanales; Bacillaceae. The record is from RNAcentral.
UCUGUUGUUAGGGAAGAACAAGUGCGAGAGUAACUGCUCGCACCAUGACGGUACCUAACCAGAAAGCCACGGCUAACUACGUGCCAGCAGCCGCGGUAAUACGUAGGUGGCAAGCGUUGUCCGGAAUUAUUGGGCGUAAAGGGCUCGCAGGCGGUUUCUUAAGUCUGAUGUGAAAGCCCCCGGCUCAACCGGGGAGGGUCAUUGGAAACUGGGAAACUUGAGUGCAGAAGAGGAGAGUGGAAUUCCACGUGUAGCGGUGAAAUGCGUAGAGAUGUGGAGGAACACCAGUGGCGAAGGCGACUCUCUGGUCUGUAACUGACGCUGAGGAGCGAAAGCGUGGGGAG